RNAcentral lists this ribosomal RNA (327 nucleotides) under Triticum aestivum (bread wheat). RNAcentral describes it as "partial small subunit ribosomal RNA". Lineage: Eukaryota; Viridiplantae; Streptophyta; Magnoliopsida; Poales; Poaceae. The record is from RNAcentral.
CUUGCAAAUUUUCAGGGGACUUAUGUCCGCCCUCCGGAUGCAGACGAUUUAAGUCACAUAACUCAACAGCCCGGAGAGUCAGCCCGCAAAUUCUGGAACAGGUUCCUCACCAAAAAGAACCAAAUAGUCGACUGUCCGGACGCUGAAGCCUUAGCAGCUUUCAAACACAACUUCCGAGACGAAUGGCUCGCCAGACACCUUGGCCAAGAAAAGCCGAGAACAAUGGCCGCACUAACAAGCCUCAUGACCCGCUUUUGCGCGGGAGAGGAUAGCUGGCUGGCAACAUGCAGCACUAGUGACCCAAGUACAUCUGAGGUCAGGGAUGGA